AGAGUUUGAUCAUGGCUCCCGAUGAACGCUGGCGGCGUGCUUAAUACAUGCAAGUCGAACGGAGAAUUGUAGCAAUGCAGUUCUCAGUGGCGAACGGGCGAGUAACGAGUUGGUGACCUGCCCCGAAGUGUGGGAUAACAGUCCGAAAGGAUUGCUAAUACCGCAUGUGAUUAUCGGUUUUAGAAUCUGAUAAUUAAAGCAGUAAUGCGCUUCGGGAGGGACCUGCUUUCCAUCAGCUAGUUGGUGAGGUAACGGCCCACCAAGGCUACGACGGAUAAGGGACCUGAGAGGGUGGUCCCUCGCAAUGGCACUGAAACACGGGCCAUACACCUACGGGUGGCAGCAGUAGGGAAUAUUGGGCAAUGGGCGAAAGCCUGACCCAGCAACGCCGCGUGCACGAUGAAGGCCUUCGGGUCGUAAAGUGCUUUUCUGAGGAAUGAGAAAGGACAGUACCUCAGGAAUAAGCCUCGGCUAACUACGUGCCAGCAGCCGCGGUAAAACGUAGGAGGCAAGCGUUAUCCGGAUUUACUGGGCGUAAAGCGUGUGUAGGCGGUUCGGCAAGUUGGAUGUGAAAGCUCCUGGCUUAACUAGGAGAGGUCGUUCAAUACUACCGAACUUGAGGGCAUCAGAGGAAGGUGGAAUUCCCGGUGUAGUGGUGAAAUGCGUAGAUAUCGGGAGGAACACCAGUGGCGAAAGCGGCCUUCUGGGAUGUUCCUGACGCUCAGACACGAAAGCUAGGGUAGCGAACGGGAUUAGAGACCCCGGUAGUCCUAGCAGUAAACGAUGUAGACUUGGUGUCGGAGGUGUCAAAACCUUCGGUAUCGAAGCUAACGCGAUAAGUCUACCGCCUGGGGACUACGGCCGCAAGGUUAAAACUCAAAUGAAUUGACGG
This 892-nucleotide ribosomal RNA is filed under the name uncultured bacterium. RNAcentral's name for it is "bacterial SSU rRNA". It matches the Rfam family "Bacterial small subunit ribosomal RNA", at positions 8 to 916 of the family's 1533-position model. The record is from RNAcentral.